GUAAUUCUUUCCCACACCUCAGGGGCUGAACAGGGGAAUGCAGCUUCUUGAGGUGCUCAGUGUGGAGAGUGUGUUUGUUUUUUUUUUUUAGAAACGGAUCUAGAGAGCUAAAAUGCAAAUUAAGGCCAAACAUAUUAGCCUGCAUCUAAGAUGAGCCUCCAAGAGCUCCAGCAGUUACACACACCCAGACAUCCAUGGGUAUCCAUAUUUUUGCCAGACAAGCUGUGUAGGCUCUGGGAGUUGCACUCAGCCUGGUCAGAGCCACUGCAUUUAUAGAUAAGCCUCUCUGCCACUUGGGAUCCCUCAUUCAGAGCCUGCCUGUGGGGCUGAUUUGUGAAAUUUGUAAGGAUGAGUAAGAUUCAGUCAUUAAUAGGAGGUCAGCAAAAAGGACAGAACUUGUAUCCCUACCUGUCAUUGAAAAUUACAGUAGGUUGCAGAAGAGAGUAUUGUUAUUGAACAGCCUGGAGGCCCUCGCUGAGCUGUGAGAAAUGAGCUCAGCACCAUUUGCACACAAAAGGAGCUGCAGUUCACAUUUUUUCCGGACAGCAAACCAUUAAACUCUGCAGCUCUCCUGCUAAAGGGACCCCUUCACCCUUCUCUGUGACAACCAUGAAGCCAUGGUGUUCCAAUAAGCUAUGCAUGGGGCCAGGAGGGCCUGGCACUGUGGUCUCAUCAUAAGAGAGAUUUCCCUUUAGGGCAUGUAAAAGUUUUGUUUCUGGUUACUCAGACAGAAGCUGCUGCUGUAUUUUGUGUGGGUGCUGGGAAAGCAAAGGUAUUUGUACAAGAGCAGACUCAGAGUCCCUGUCUGCAGCCCUAUGUUGCUGUUGUGGGGUAAGCUUCCCUGGAGAAUGGCACAGACAUUUAAUUUCAAAGCAGAUUUGGUCUAUAAUUUGGCGUUUGGAUGGUGCUAACAUCUGGAGAAGCUUCUCAGCUGUUCUUCCAUGUGAAUGUUGUCCAUGGCAGCUGCAGGCAUUGGAGCCUUUCCCUGCACAGAGGAUGUAAGGACUCGACUCUGGUUUGCAAAUUCCAUUCCUGCAGCUGAACACCUCCUGCACCAUCAAAUGGAGCAGCCAUCCCACAAGCCUCAGCACAAUACACUAGGGCUGUCACUGUAAUGUUCAAAUAAACUGAGCCAUGGGUUAAGGCUGUAACACCAUAGACCCUAGGAGAUGUGAUUUGCAAGAUAAUGUAGUUACUAUAAAAUGGAAGAGCAUUCUUGGCAUUUUAUAGAGAUAAACAUUGCAACUUGGCAUUCUUGAGACAUGAAUUUGUGCCUGAAAAUAAUAUUGCAGCUCCUUUUAAUCAAUACUUCCUUGUUUUUGGAGCUGCCUAUAAGCUGUACCUUUUCUUUCAAUUUGAAGCUACCAGACAACUCAGCUGAAAUUCCCUUCCUUGCAUUAUCAAACCACAAGUUCACUCUUCAAAAAGCAAAUGUUUGUAAUAUUCUGUGCAAGCUACAGGAUUAAAUUCUCAUAGUUUGUGUUCCUCCAACAAUGGAGGACACAAAUAUGCCCUUUGUAUUAGUAUUAGUAUUUACUGGUUUUCUAUUUAACCAAAAUGAUUUUUCAGCCACUUGCUUGCAGGUUCAAGGCAUCCAUUACUAAGAAUUAGACAUAUUUGACUUGAACCUACAGUAGCUAAAUGCAAAAAGUGUAAUAAACUCUGUUCCUUCACAGUGCUGGGAAAAACUCCAAAGGUCUGGAUUGAAGAGAGGAGAUGUAAUGCCCAUACAUGGGGGUAAAAAUAGCAUGAGAGACUGAUUGGGAAUCAUAUAUUCAGCCUACAACCAUUAAAGGGCAGCAGACUGGUUCAGAUUCUUUCUUAGGAGGAGGGGGUAGAGAGCCCUGAGAAGCGUCUGGGUUAUGAAGAGAUUUCUGGAGUGGGAAUGCUUUAUCAAUCCCUACUGCUGAGUGCCCUGGGACCUUUUUUUGAAGCAAAUCAGUUUUCACCUGGCAGAAGUGGAUGAGAAGGGUGGUUUGAAUUCUGUCACUGCAGCUGGCACUGCUGACUGACUGCUGCCUUUGGAGUCAGACAGAAAAGAGGAGCUGAUGCAAAGUGUGUUUUUUGAACCAUCACCCUUUGUCAGAAGCCAUUGAUUCCCUAAACACCAUCAGUGUGAUGGAAACAAACGUGAGCUCCUUUGCUCUGCUUUUAUUAACUGCUAACGAGCUUUGUGAAAGCCAGCAAAAGGGUGUUACCAGUUUAGGACUCUGCCAAGGCAGCAAGGUGGAGCUGCAUGUGGGAAUGAAGCCUUGUUUAAUCAGGUUUUGUAACUACUUUGAUACAAUUUUAGCUGAAGCGUGUUCAGUCAAGCAGUUCCUGGUUUAAUGCACAUACUGUUUCAAAUUUAGUAGCAGGUUUCAGAAUUUAUCGAAUUCCUCUUCAAUAACCACU
Sturnus vulgaris (Common starling) is the source of this 2394-nucleotide non-coding RNA. The record is from RefSeq and is a predicted model, not a curated record. NCBI's taxonomy places the organism in Eukaryota, Metazoa, Chordata, Aves, Passeriformes, Sturnidae.